GGUGAUUGGGAGAGAUGGAAAGCGAUUGCUAUUGUUUUAUUAGGUUUCAAAUGAAGACCUUUAAUUUACAAAGCCAUUUUCUUUUGUAAGAUGUGGAUUUUGUAUAUUAAAGGAAUUGUUUUUUUCUACAGUAAUAAACUAUAGACCACAUUAACGUUGACAUGUUCCAGUGGGAAUGCAGUGACCAAUGAAAUAAUUCAGACACUCUUCACAUUGUCUAUUUGUAGUCUUUAGAUUAACUUUUUUCAAUUGUUAUUGUUGUUGCAAUGCGCAAAUACAAUUGUAAAAAGGGCUGUAGUGAAUUCUAGUUUUAUUCUAGUAAACAUGGUUUGCAAGAUGAUAGCACAUGUACCUGAAAUGAAGGCAGAAUGAUGGCAAGCAAAACUGGAAUGGUUACAUUUAGGGCUGCACGAUAUUGGAAAAAUCUGACAUUGCGAUAUUUUCUUUUGCUACUAUAUGUAUUGCGAUAUGAAUUCAAUUUAAGUUAAACGGUGCUUUAUGGCUUUCUGGGGAGUUAAACAGUAUUCUUUCAUUAAUUUUUUCGUCAGGGGUCACCACAGUGGAAUGAACCGGCAACUUACCCAGCAUGUUUUACAAAGUGGAUACCCUUUCUGCUGCACCCAGGAUAAUUCUGGGGCAAGUUCGAUGUUUCCCAUGUUUUAAGAGCGGCAAACCAAUCUGGUUCUAGCACUGCAAUGGCAUGGAUUUUGCUGAUGGGACUACUUGACAUAGAUACGCUCUAACAGAUCAAUUUGAGAGGUGGAGAAUUAAAAGUUGCAAAAGGAGAGCAAUGUCAAGCCCUUGAUGGUGAAAGUCAAGGCAAUCACUGGAAGAGGCAGUUUCCUGGCACUGAUGACGACGCUGAUCCUGCAGUGUUUGGGUCUCAGGACAGACUCUGGAUCAGGCUCUGGUUCUGGAUCAGUUAGAUAAGACCUUGCUGCUUUCUGUGUGAAGUCCAUACAGAGAAAAACACAAGAGGAAAUAUAAAAACAUGUCUGGCAUUUGUCUAGCGCAUAUUUAUAUGACAUGAGAAGCAUCCCAGCGGGCACCUUGAUGACAAAACUACAUCAGAAACAGCAUAAAAAUGCAGAUCGAUUUAUGUCAGCUGAUUAACUUGACGUGUUUUUGACGCCAGUGUUAGAUUUCAAUUUGAUGUCGUUUAGACGUCAAGCUAGUUUACAUGCAUUGUAGAGAUAUUUGUAAUUUGUUCUUGAAGCUUUCAGAUAAAUAAAACAUUUCUUAUAA
Danio rerio (zebrafish) is the source of this 1245-nucleotide non-coding RNA. The record is from RefSeq and is a predicted model, not a curated record. Lineage: Eukaryota; Metazoa; Chordata; Actinopteri; Cypriniformes; Danionidae.